Molecule: ribosomal RNA, 465 nt
Filed under: uncultured bacterium
Lineage: Bacteria
Description: partial 16S ribosomal RNA
Rfam family: Bacterial small subunit ribosomal RNA
Source: RNAcentral
GACGAACGCUGGCGGCGUGCUUAACACAUGCAAGUCGAACGGAAAGGCCCCUUUGGGGGUACUCGAGUGGCGAACGGGGGAGUAACACGUGAGUAACCUGCCCUUGACUUCGGGAUAACUUCAGGAAACUGGGGCUAAUACCGGAUAGGAAUCCUUGCUGCAUGGUGGGGGGUGGAAAGCUUCGGCGGUUUUGGAUGGACUCGCGGCUUAUCAGCUUGUUGGUGGGGUAGUGGCUUACCAAGGCUUUGACGGGUAGCCGGCCUGAGAGGGCGACCGGCCACCUUGGGACUGAGAUACCGCCCAGACUCCUACGGGAGGCAGCAGUGGGGAAUAUUGCACAAUGGGCGGAAGCCUGAUGCAGCAACGCCGCGUGCGGGAUGACGGCCUUCGGGUUGUAAACCGCUUUCAGCAGGGGCGAAGCUUGUGGUGACGGUACCUGCAGAAGAAGCACCGGCUAACUACGUG